UGGGGAAUAUUGCACAAUGGGCGCAAGCCUGAUGCAGCCAUGCCGCGUGUGUGAAGAAGGCCUUCGGGUUGUAAAGCACUUUCAGCGAGGAGGAAGGUGGUGAGCUUAAUACGCUCAUCAAUUGACGUUACUCGCAGAAGAAGCACCGGCUAACUCCGUGCCAGCAGCCGCGGUAAUACGGAGGGUGCAAGCGUUAAUCGGAAUUACUGGGCGUAAAGCGCACGCAGGCGGUUUGUUAAGUCAGAUGUGAAAUCCCCCGGGCUCAACCUGGGAACUGCAUUUGAAACUGGCAAGCUAGAGUCUCGUAGAGGGGGGUAGAAUUCCAGGUGUAGCGGUGAAAUGCGUAGAGAUCUGGAGGAAUACCGGUGGCGAAGGCGGCCCCCUGGACGAAGACUGACGCUCAGGUGCGAAAGCGUGGGGAGCAAACAGGAUUAGAUACCCCUGGUAGUCCACGCUGUAAAACGAUGUCGAUUUUGGAGGUUGUGCCCCUUGAGGCGUGGNUUCCGGAGCUAACGCGUUAAAGUCGACCG
Molecule: ribosomal RNA, 530 nt
Filed under: uncultured bacterium
Lineage: Bacteria
Description: partial 16S ribosomal RNA
Rfam family: Bacterial small subunit ribosomal RNA
Source: RNAcentral